Oncorhynchus kisutch (coho salmon) is the source of this 840-nucleotide long non-coding RNA. RefSeq lists it as uncharacterized. The transcript has 2 exons. The record is from RefSeq and is a predicted model, not a curated record. Lineage: Eukaryota; Metazoa; Chordata; Actinopteri; Salmoniformes; Salmonidae.
GUUGCACCCGUUUCUGUCUACACUACAGCACGUGAUUCAAUGAAGCAACGUUGGCAAACCAGAGGUGUAUUCCUUACGCUGAAUCUGUUGCAAAACGUUUCUUAGACGGAAGCAAACGGAACAAAACGGAAAGGGAUCUACCUGAAUUUGUUUAAUAUAAAUUCUAAUUUUGCAUCUGUUUGCACUAAUGAUUACUCCCCAGAGUUGCGGUCAGGACGCUCGUUCUCCUUUGCUGAACGGAAGAUUUCUUCCCGAUACUCCGCUAUAGUCUUCUCUACGGCCCCGAAUAUCUCCACAGCAGCCGCCGACAAACGCUCGGUAACGAACACAUUCAGCAACUGUAGUUUGGACAUAUUGGAGAGGGCAAUGAAAGUCUAGCUGUUUGUUUUAUCAAAGAAAUGUUGAAACGUCUGUCUGCUUCAGCCUAGCGGGUUUACACUACCUAGUAGAUACCUUUGUAAACAACAAUGUCACGUGCUGUGUUUUCUAUUCAUCAACCGCGAACGGUGUAAGACUGCAUUACAUUAGCGCCACCUGCUGGCUUGGAGCACGUCAAACCACGUCCGGAGGCCUUCAAUGAACUGGGAGAAGUUUGAGCUGAAUUUGCCCUCCAGGCAAGCAACUAGAGCAUGUCAUCUAUACGGAGAACAGGCGCAUGUGCUCUGUUGUAGACAGCCGUGAGGACUUCCUGUAGCCAGCAGUGUCCUGGAGGGUAGGUCCCUGAGUCAGAGCUAGAUUCAGUUUACAGAUCUGAUAGACUAAUGCUUUUCCCUCUCCACAAAUUACACAAUUUGUUCUGUUAUCAAUUGCCAGAAAACAUUAUAUAAAACGUAUUCACAA